UAUGAUCACCAUUAUAAAUCAAAUUAAUUUAUAUAUUGCCAAAUAAUCUCUUAACAAUAAGUUUGUGAUACAUACAAAAAAAGUAGACAAUAUAACUGAAAUUCACACACUCAUAUAUAUGUAUAAACAAUAAUUAAAUUACAGUAAAGAGUCCAGUGUUCCCUGUCGUCAGCUCUUAUGACUUUUUGAUGUAGGACCCCAAUUUAUUUACUUGUGAUGGAUUGAAUAUUAAAAAGUUUCUUUUUCAUCAUCUUUUUCUAGUUGAAUUCAAAAUUGUUAAAAAGAUGUUUACACUAUCAAACAUUGUUUGAUGGAACAUUGUAUCAUGUUCUAUUCUUUUACAAUAUAUCAAAGUGUCGUCAGGGUUUUACUUUGUAUAUAGAAACAAGAGAGAUUAUUCCUUCGAAUUCUCAAGUCAAUAUUAACAUUAUUAUAAAAAUUACCAAAGUAUGUCAACAAUGUGCAAAUUUAUAUACAUCAAUAUAACUUAAGCCUUACAUAUUUGCGAAUCAGCAUACACACACCAGUUACAUCAUCACAUAACUUGUGAUCAUCAUGUUAUACAAACUAACAGUUAUAAAUAUUAAAUAAAAUACAAAAAAAAUGAAUCAAAACUUAACUGAAAUGAAAAUAAAAUCAAUUGACAAAUAUAAUAUAACUUUAAAACCCUGUAGCAUAUACAUGCACCAAAACCACUUCAAUUCAAUACCAGCAAUAUGAUUUUUUUGCAAUCCAGAGCCACUGCACACACAAAAUAUCAAAAACUAUUUACCUUCGUAUCUAAACCAAGUGAACCUGAGCUCACACUCAACUUUUGGUGGGGUUUGGGUUGUUCAGCUUUGUCUUUACCAGGCUAGAUUUUGUGUAUUGUAGUGUUGUUUACCUUUUCGUAUUUUUCGAGUUUUGCCAUGGUAUUGUUAGUUCUUUUUCGACCUUUGGUAUAUUUCGCCUUACUUGUGCGCCCUUUUUUCUUACUAAAAAACCACCAGUAUACAACUCCAACUACGUGAAAUUCUCAGUCAUUUCAUUAUUAAUCCUAUAUGCUAAAUUAAGGAUUGUUUAUCGUAUACGCUUUUUGUAUUGUGUUAACAGCAGUCGCAAAGGUAUGUGUCACAAAUUUUCAUUUCCUUUUUUUCAUUUUUUUUUCAGAACAAACUCCACAUUAAACAAUGUCAU
This 1176-nucleotide long non-coding RNA is filed under the name Mytilus galloprovincialis (Mediterranean mussel). The record is from RNAcentral. Lineage: Eukaryota; Metazoa; Mollusca; Bivalvia; Mytilida; Mytilidae.